AAUAGCUCAGUUGGUUAGAGCACCUGACUGUUAAUCAGGGGGUCGCAGGUUCAAGUCCUGCUU
RNAcentral lists this transfer RNA (63 nucleotides) under human gut metagenome. It matches the Rfam family "tRNA", at positions 6 to 65 of the family's 71-position model. Rfam says of the family: Transfer RNA (tRNA) molecules are approximately 80 nucleotides in length. RNAcentral also lists the same sequence under 5 other names. The record is from RNAcentral.